This 492-nucleotide ribosomal RNA is filed under the name uncultured bacterium. RNAcentral's name for it is "partial 16S ribosomal RNA". It matches the Rfam family "Bacterial small subunit ribosomal RNA", at positions 29 to 507 of the family's 1533-position model. The record is from RNAcentral.
AGUGAACGCUGGCGGUAGGCCUAACACAUGCAAGUCGAACGGCAGCACAGUAAGAGCUUGCUCUUACGGGUGGCGAGUGGCGGACGGGUGAGGAAUACAUCGGAAUCUACUUUUUCGUGGGGGAUAACGUAGGGAAACUUACGCUAAUACCGCAUACGACCUACGGGUGAAAGCAGGGGAUCUUCGGACCUUGCGCGUUUGAAUGAGCCGAUGUCGGAUUAGCUAGUUGGCGGGGUAAAGGCCCACCAAGGCGACGAUCCGUAGCUGGUCUGAGAGGAUGAUCAGCCACACUGGAACUGAGACACGGUCCAGACUCCUACGGGAGGCAGCAGUGGGGAAUAUUGGACAAUGGGCGCAAGCCUGAUCCAGCCAUACCGCGUGGGUGAAGAAGGCCUUCGGGUUGUAAAGCCCUUUUGUUGGGAAAGAACAGCAGCAGGUUAAUCCACCGCUGUUCUGACGGUACCCAAAGAAUAAGCACCGGCUAACUUCGUG